This 2062-nucleotide long non-coding RNA is filed under the name Patiria miniata (bat star). RNAcentral's name for it is "uncharacterized LOC119722334". The record is from RNAcentral. Lineage: Eukaryota; Metazoa; Echinodermata; Asteroidea; Valvatida; Asterinidae.
UCCGUGUCUGUGUUAGUCCUUCAGUGUCAAUUGUGUUUGUAAUUAUUCUAAACAAAAAUUUUUUGGUAAAUGCCAAUAGUAAAGUCAGAACUGCCUUGUAUCAACAUUUUGCCUAAUGUUUCCCAAUUUCUCAACCUCUUUACAUAUUCUUCUGAUUUAUUCACUCAAAUCGCCCUUGGUUUACUUUGGAAAUCUAGUCGACAAAUAUUUCCACUCGAUGGUUGGUACCCACCUUUAGGGUCAUCGCUACAAACCCUCAUUGGGUUCUAGAUGGUCCUCACUCAUAUUCAUAACACCCCAAAUAUCAUAUGAACAUCUUCAUCCCUUAAAAAUUCGUUAAAGAGCAUUUUCCCUUGAAAUUACAGUUAAAUAAAUUUUCACGGAUUUUUCAACAUAUUAAGCCAGAUUAGGAGUCCGUGAAAACACCUUUAAAAAAGUCCUUUGUUUACCAAGUGUACCGUUAUGUACCGAUGAUAAUCCUCAGUGGCUAGGGUCAUUAUAAAACCGUGAAAAUGCCCUUACAGGAUUAGUCCUAUAUAAGCCCCAUGUAAAUGUCCGUGAAACAUCUCUUAAAGAUCUUUUCACGGAGAAAUGGACUUUUAAUAAAAAUUUAAAGGAUCAGAUGUUCAUCAUUGUCGAAAUGCUGCUGUGAAGUUGAGUUGAAUAAAACCAAACUUGAAACUUUAAACAUAACCCCAACUUCAAUCCAUAUUUAAAUAUAAAUAGAUACUUUAUUGUUCAACAAUAGGAGGGACUUCUCUACACAAGUUCCAUUAAAGGGUAACAUUUUCAGUUGCUUAGGCAAAGGAUUCCAGUGCAGGGCUACACAUAAAACCAUGAUUAGGAGAGGCCAGGGACUGAAUAAGUUGAAACGGAGGGAAGGAGUUUUAGUUUUGCAAAAUAUAAACGGAUUAUUUAAAAGUAUCAUUUAUUGAUGUCCACUUGACUUGACCGAGCAUUUUUUUCCCCUAUGUCUUUACAUUCAAUUCAGGUUCUCGAUCUCUUUCUGUUGAAUUUAGUGUAAAAUCAAAAUAUUGGAUAUUAAAUUUGGUCUUUUGAAUUAUUUUUAUGGGGGGAGGGGGAGGCAGAGGCAGUGGGGCAAUUAACUGAAUGAUGGCCGGUUGUUGAGUUAACUGGUUGAUCUGAACUUUCUCUAUUGACACUUAAUUGUUUUAUGUGUACAUUUAUUUUUUUAAUUUAAGAUGUCAGUGCUUUUUUUAGUUUUACUCUAAAAAUACAUUCGAAACAUUCAAGUCAUUAACCUUUGAAUGACAUAACGAAAAAAAUCCCCCAGUGGCAUGUUGUGGCCAAAUAUACCAAUAAUUAAUUUCCAAAGCUUGAAUUAUUCUGGUGCAUCUUUUUGUCCCUUUUUUGUUAUAGAUGUGCAAAAACAACUCAAAAGUAAUUUUUGCAGAGGUUCGCAGAUGCCGAAAAUAGGGGAAUUUUUUUAUAUUUUAUUUAAUUGACUUUUAUUUUUUAACGUAGAACAUUCAACUUGAAAUUAUAUUUUCAGGAAGAGAAAUCAAAAUGUGUUGGAAGGCAUGGGGGAGGGCAACUUAUAACCAACAAAUAUUAUUUUAACAAAAACAGUUUUUUGUGAGAUGCUGUAAAACAAAAAUGAGUUAAAAUUUUCGUUUUUGUUAUGGCUGUAAAAAGUGAAGUGUGGUUUUAUAUUUUUUUCUGUGCCGUUUGUCAAAAACUUUUAGGACCAGUGAAGUGUUAUAGCGCCCUCUUGUGAACAAACUUUUAAGUUUACCACGUGUACCGGCUGCAAACUGGUUCCGGUCUCUCCAACAACGAUGAAAUCCUUCAAAUUUAUGGCAGGAACCAGUCUGGUUAAGUAACAGUUUAAUGCCGUGCGCUUACAUUGGUCUUUUGCUAUUUUGCCAUACUCGAGUUUUCUCCCGAGUUGAACAGCAGAAGGAGCAAUUUAAAGAAAAGGGAGAAUGGCACAAAGGCUACUGUCCACUGUCAUUUGCUGUGAAUUGCUUGACUGUGGUUGAAAGCUUCAAAUGAUAAAGAAAUCACGGUGCAUAAUCUUUAGCGAAGAUUUAUUUUUAUU